UGGAGAUUAUCUCUCGGUACCUUCGG
This 26-nucleotide non-coding RNA is filed under the name Homo sapiens (human). The record is from RNAcentral. Lineage: Eukaryota; Metazoa; Chordata; Mammalia; Primates; Hominidae.